GACGAACGCUGGCGGCGUGCUUAACACAUGCAAGUCGAACGGAAAGGCCCUGCUUUUGUGGGGUGCUCGAGUGGCGAACGGGUGAGUAACACGUGAGUAACCUGCCCUUGACUUUGGGAUAACUUCAGGAAACUGGGGCUAAUACCGGAUAGGAGCUCCUGCUGCAUGGUGGGGGUUGGAAAGUUUCGGCGGGUGGGGAUGGACUCGCGGCUUAUCAGCUUGUUGGUGGGGUAGUGGCUUACCAAGGCUUUGACGGGUAGCCGGCCUGAGAGGGUGACCGGCCACAUUGGGACUGAGAUACGGCCCAGACUCCUACGGGAGGCAGCAGUGGGGAAUAUUGCACAAUGGGCGGAAGCCUGAUGCAGCAACGCCGCGUGCGGGAUGACGGCCUUCGGGUUGUAAACCGCUUUCGCCUGUGACGAAGGGUGAGUGACGGUAAUGGGUAAAGAAGCACCGGCUAACUACGUG
RNAcentral lists this ribosomal RNA (468 nucleotides) under uncultured bacterium. Its description in RNAcentral is "partial 16S ribosomal RNA". It matches the Rfam family "Bacterial small subunit ribosomal RNA", at positions 28 to 507 of the family's 1533-position model. The record is from RNAcentral.